AACGAACGCUGGCGGCAUGCCUAACACAUGCAAGUCGAACGAGACCUUCGGGUCUAGUGGCGCACGGGUGCGUAACGCGUGGGAACCUGCCCUUAGGUUCGGAAUAACUCCCCGAAAGGGGUGCUAAUACCGGAUAAUGUCUUCGGACCAAAGAUUUAUCGCCUUUGGAUGGGCCCGCGUUGGAUUAGCUAGUUGGUAGGGUAAAAGCCUACCAAGGCGACGAUCCAUAGCUGGUCUGAGAGGAUGAUCAGCCACACUGGGACUGAGACACGGCCCAGACUCCUACGGGAGGCAGCAGUGGGGGAUAUUUGAAAAUGGGCGAAAGCCUGAUCCAGCAAUGCCGCGUGAGUGAUGAAGGCCUUAGGGUUGUAAAGCUCUUUUACCCGGGAUGAUAAUGACAGUACCGGGAGAAUAAGCUCCGGCUAACUCCGUG
RNAcentral lists this ribosomal RNA (433 nucleotides) under uncultured bacterium. RNAcentral describes it as "partial 16S ribosomal RNA". It matches the Rfam family "Bacterial small subunit ribosomal RNA", at positions 29 to 507 of the family's 1533-position model. The record is from RNAcentral.